Molecule: ribosomal RNA, 388 nt
Filed under: Paracoccus sp. MS3
Lineage: Bacteria; Pseudomonadati; Pseudomonadota; Alphaproteobacteria; Rhodobacterales; Paracoccaceae
Description: bacterial SSU rRNA
Rfam family: Bacterial small subunit ribosomal RNA
Source: RNAcentral
ACCAAGCCGACGAUCCAUAGCUGGUUUGAGAGGAUGAUCAGCCACACUGGGACUGAGACACGGCCCAGACUCCUACGGGAGGCAGCAGUGGGGAAUCUUAGACAAUGGGGGCAACCCUGAUCUAGCCAUGCCGCGUGAGUGAUGAAGGCCCUAGGGUUGUAAAGCUCUUUCAGCUGGGAAGAUAAUGACGGUACCAGCAGAAGAAGCCCCGGCUAACUCCGUGCCAGCAGCCGCGGUAAUACGGAGGGGGCUAGCGUUGUUCGGAAUUACUGGGGGUAAAGCGCGCGUAGGCGGAUCANCAAGUUAGGGGUGAAAUCCCGGGGCUCAACCCCGGAACUGCCUCUAAAACUGUUGGUCUUGAGUUCGAGAGAGGUGAGUGGAAUUCCGA